GCGCGCGUAGCUCAGCUGGCUAGAGUAUCACAUUGACAUUGUGGGGGUCGCAGGUUCGAGUCCUGCCGUGCGCA
Molecule: transfer RNA, 74 nt
Filed under: bacterium
Lineage: Bacteria
Description: tRNA-Val
Rfam family: tRNA
About the family: Transfer RNA (tRNA) molecules are approximately 80 nucleotides in length. Their secondary structure includes four short double-helical elements and three loops (D, anti-codon, and T loops).
Source: RNAcentral